This 721-nucleotide ribosomal RNA is filed under the name uncultured Eubacteriales bacterium. RNAcentral describes it as "bacterial SSU rRNA". It matches the Rfam family "Bacterial small subunit ribosomal RNA", at positions 60 to 781 of the family's 1533-position model. Lineage: Bacteria; Bacillati; Bacillota; Clostridia; Eubacteriales. The record is from RNAcentral.
AGUCGAGCGAUGAAACUUUAACAGAACCCUUCGGGGCGAAGAUAAAGUGGAUUAGCGGCGGACGGGUGAGUAACACGUGAGUAACCUGCCUUAGACAUUGGGAUAGCCUCGGGAAACCGGGAUUAAUACCAAAUAAAAUCAUAAUGACACAUGUCAUAACGAUCAAAACUCCGGUGGUCUAAGAUGGACUCGCGUCCCAUUAGCUAGUUGGUAGAGUAAAAGCCUACCAAGGCGACGAUGGGUAGCCGGCCUGAGAGGGUGAACGGCCACAUUGGAACUGAGAAACGGUCCAAACUCCUACGGGAGGCAGCAGUGGGGAAUAUUGCACAAUGGAGGGAACUCUGAUGCAGCGACGCCGCGUGAACGAAGAAGGCUUUCGAGUCGUAAAGUUCUUUUAUAUGGGAAGAUAAUGACGGUACCAUAAGAAAAAGCCCCGGCUAACUACGUGCCAGCAGCCGCGGUAAUACGUAGGGGGCUAGCGUUGUCCGGAAUCACUGGGCGUAAAGGGUUCGCAGGCGGAAAUGCAAGUCAGAUGUAAAAGGCAGUAGCUUAACUACUGUAAGCAUUUGAAACUGCAUAUCUUGAGAAGAGUAGAGGUAAGUGGAAUUUUUAGUGUAGCGGUGAAAUGCGUAGAUAUUAAAAAGAAUACCGGUGGCGAAGGCGACUUACUGGGCUCAUUCUGACGCUGAGGAACGAAAGCGUGGGUAGCAAACAGGAUUAG